Molecule: ribosomal RNA, 346 nt
Filed under: uncultured bacterium
Lineage: Bacteria
Description: partial 16S ribosomal RNA
Rfam family: Bacterial small subunit ribosomal RNA
Source: RNAcentral
CCUACGGGUGGCUGCAGUGAGGAAUAUUGGUCAAUGGACGAGAGUCUGAACCAGCCAAGUAGCGUGAAGGAUGACGGCCCUAUGGGUUGUAAACUUCUGUGAUAGGGGAAUAAAAUGGGCCACGUGUGGGAUUUUGUAUGUACCAUAUGAAUAAGGAUCGGCUAACUCCGUGCCAGAAGCCUCGGUAAUACGGAGGUUCCGAGCGUUAUCCGGAUUUAUUGGGUUUAAAGGGAGCGUAGGUGGCUUGUUAAGUCAGUUGUGAAAGUGUGCGGCUCAACCGUAAAAUUGCAGUUGAACCUGGCAGUCUUGUGUACAGUAGAGGUUGGCGGAAUUCGUGGUGUAGCGG